RNAcentral lists this ribosomal RNA (225 nucleotides) under uncultured bacterium. RNAcentral describes it as "partial 16S ribosomal RNA". It matches the Rfam family "Bacterial small subunit ribosomal RNA", at positions 1275 to 1500 of the family's 1533-position model. The record is from RNAcentral.
CAAAAAGACAGUCUCAGUUCGGAUUGAAGGCUGAAAUUCGCCUUCAUGAAGCCGGAAUUGCUAGUAAUGGCAGGUCAGCAUACUGCCGUGAAUACGUUCCCGGGCCUUGUACACACCGCCCGUCACACCAUGAGAGUUGGAGAUACCCGAAGCCUAUGAGCUAACUUUUAGAGGCAGUAGUCGAAGGUAGAAUCAAUGAUUGGGGUGAAGUCGUAACAAGGUAUC